This 427-nucleotide ribosomal RNA is filed under the name uncultured bacterium. Its description in RNAcentral is "bacterial SSU rRNA". It matches the Rfam family "Bacterial small subunit ribosomal RNA", at positions 355 to 774 of the family's 1533-position model. The record is from RNAcentral.
UGGGGAAUUUUGGACAAUGGGGGCAACCCUGAUCCAGCCAUUCCGCGUGAGUGAAGAAGGCCUUCGGGUCGUAAAGCUCUUUCGGCAGGAACGAAACGGCGAGCUCUAACAUAGCUUGCUAAUGACGGUACCUGAAGAAGAAGCACCGGCUAACUACGUGCCAGCAGCCGCGGUAAUACGUAGGGUGCGAGCGUUAAUCGGAAUUACUGGGCGUAAAGCGUGCGCAGGCGGUUAUGUAAGACAGAUGUGAAAUCCCCGGGCUCAACCUGGGAACUGCGUUUGUGACUGCAUAACUAGAGUACGGCAGAGGGAGGUGGAAUUCCGCGUGUAGCAGUGAAAUGCGUAGAUAUGCGGAGGAACACCGAUGGCGAAGGCAAUCCCCUGGACCUGUACUGACGCUCAUGCACGAAAGCGUGGGGAGCAAACA